This is a long non-coding RNA of Hemicordylus capensis (graceful crag lizard), 268 nucleotides long. RefSeq lists it as uncharacterized. The transcript is spliced from 3 exons. The record is from RefSeq and is a predicted model, not a curated record. Lineage: Eukaryota; Metazoa; Chordata; Lepidosauria; Squamata; Cordylidae.
GGGUCCAAAGGAAAAGGCUUUGCAGCAACAAAGCAUCCUGGACAAAUACAGGAAGGAGGGCCGCUUCCAGAGAUUAAGGUCCCUCCGGAAGCUGGAUGAGGAGACUCAGCUGCCCACCAGACCCAGACCAGAAAUACCACGGCAGCCCCUGCCUCCAGCACCAACUCCAGUCCCGCCCAGCACUGCAGGCUCCCCCAAAAGGAGAUGGAAAGAGGAAGGCCCCAAAGGAGGGGGUGGUAUGCGGUCAAAGGCCCUCUGCUGUACAAGG